GAUUCAUACUAGAUAGAUUUAUCAUCGGUGGUGUUCUAAUGUGAUUUCUUUAUUUAAAUAUUCUUCAAUUUUAAUAAUUUUAAGAUUGGUAAUUUGCUAUUUAUCAUUUAUUUUGAGCCCGAGAUAUUUUUAGUUUACAAUCUUUGAGUAAGAAAUAUAUUUAUUUGUUUAAUAUUCAGUUGUUCGUCUUAAUUUUACAUCUUAACAGUUUCCGGGAUGCUACAAAGUAGACAGCUUCAGUCACUUCGAUGGUUUUUUAGUGUAUUCGAAAUUCAAGGUCAAAAAGAUACUCAAAGUUGGUUUAUCGCUAUGAAGGAAGAUGCUCAAAGUUGGUGUAUCGCUACGAAGGAUUUGGUAUAUAUGAUAGGCUUCUCAUACUCUAAAGUGCUCACUGUGUUCUAAAUGUUUGUGUAAGAUGAAGAAUUACUUAUUAGCAUUCACUUUAGUGUAUCACUUACCAGGCUUCACACACUCCAAAGUGCUCACUAUGUUCUAAAUAUUUGUGUAAGAUGAAGAAUUACUUAUUAGCAUUCACUUUAGUGUAUCACUUACUCAUGCUUAUAUUUAUGCAUGUACUUAUUAAGGAUUAGUGGAUUGUAAUAUUUCAAUACAUAGUGAC
Molecule: long non-coding RNA, 619 nt
Organism: Helianthus annuus (common sunflower)
Lineage: Eukaryota; Viridiplantae; Streptophyta; Magnoliopsida; Asterales; Asteraceae
Exons: 3
Source: RefSeq, a predicted model, not a curated record